This 468-nucleotide ribosomal RNA is filed under the name uncultured bacterium. Its description in RNAcentral is "partial 16S ribosomal RNA". It matches the Rfam family "Bacterial small subunit ribosomal RNA", at positions 28 to 507 of the family's 1533-position model. The record is from RNAcentral.
GAUGAACGCUGGCGGCGUGCUUAACACAUGCAAGUCGAACGGAAAGGCCCAAGCUUGCUUGGGUACUCGAGUGGCGAACGGGUGAGUAACACGUGGGUGAUCUGCCCUGCACUUCGGGAUAAGCCUGGGAAACUGGGUCUAAUACCGGAUAGGACGAUGGUUUGGAUGCCAUUGUGGAAAGUUUUUUCGGUGUGGGAUGAGCUCGCGGCCUAUCAGCUUGUUGGUGGGGUAAUGGCCUACCAAGGCGUCGACGGGUAGCCGGCCUGAGAGGGUGUACGGCCAGAUUGGGACUGAGAUGCGGCCCAGACUCCUACGGGAGGCAGCAGUGGGGAAUAUUGCACAAUGGGCACAAGCCGGAUGCAGCGACGCCGCGUGGGGGAUGACGGCCUUCGGGUUGUAAACUCCUUUCGCUAGGGACGAAGCGUUUUUGUGACGGUACCUGGAGAAGAAGCACCGGCUAACUACGUG